RNAcentral lists this ribosomal RNA (404 nucleotides) under uncultured bacterium. Its description in RNAcentral is "bacterial SSU rRNA". It matches the Rfam family "Bacterial small subunit ribosomal RNA", at positions 355 to 776 of the family's 1533-position model. The record is from RNAcentral.
UGGGGAAUAUUGCACAAUGGGGGAAACCCUGAUGCAGCGACGCCGCGUGAAGGAUGAAGUAUUUCGGUACGUAAAGCUCUAUCAGCAGGGAAGAAAAUGACGGUACCUGAAGAAGAAGCCCCGGCUAACUACGUGCCAGCAGGCGCGGUAAUACGUAGGGGGCAAGCGUUAUCCGGAUUUACUGGGUGUAAAGGGAGCGUAGACGGCAAGGCAAGCCUGGAGUGAAAGGCGGGGGCCCAACCCCCGGACUGCUCUGGGAACUGUCUAGCUAGAGUGCAGGAGGGGUAAGUGGAAUUCCUAGUGUAGCGGUGAAAUGCGUAGAUAUUAGGAGGAACACCGGUGGCGAAGGCGGCCUGCUGGACUGUGACUGACGUUGAGGCCCGAAGGCGUGGGGAGCAAACAGG